GACGAACCGAGCGAACGUUGUUCGGAAUCACUGGGCUUAAAGGGCGCGUAGGCGGGCUGUCAAGUCUGGGGUGAAAUCCCGCGGCUCAACCGUGGAACUGCCUCAGAUACUGACGGCCUCGAGGGAGGUAGGGGCGAGCGGAACGGGUGAUGGAGCGGUGAAAUGCGUUGAUAUCACUCGGAACUCCGGUGGCGAAGGCGGCUCGCUGGACCUCUUCUGACGCUGAGGCGCGAAAGCUAGGGGAGCAAACGGG
This 253-nucleotide ribosomal RNA is filed under the name uncultured bacterium. RNAcentral's name for it is "partial 16S ribosomal RNA". It matches the Rfam family "Bacterial small subunit ribosomal RNA", at positions 524 to 776 of the family's 1533-position model. The record is from RNAcentral.